ACUCCUACGGGAGGCAGCAGUGGGGAAUAUUGCACAAUGGGCGCAAGCCUGAUGCAGCCAUGCCGCGUGUAUGAAGAAGGCCUUCGGGUUGUAAAGUACUUUCAGCAGUGAGGAAGGUGGGUAUGUUAAUAGCAUAUUCAUUUGACGUUAGCUGCAGAAGAAGCACCGGCUAACUCCGUGCCAGCAGCCGCGGUAAUACGGAGGGUGCGAGCGUUAAUCGGAAUUACUGGGCGUAAAGCGCAUGCAGGUGGUUUGUUAAGUCAGAUGUGAAAGCCCGGGGCUCAACCUCGGAAUUGCAUUUGAAACUGGCAAACUAGAGUACUGUAGAGGGGGGUAGAAUUUCAGGUGUAGCGGUGAAAUGCGUAGAGAUCUGAAGGAAUACCGGUGGCGAAGGCGGCCCCCUGGACAGAUACUGACACUCAGAUAGCGAAAGCGUGGGGAGCAAACAGGAUUAGAUACCCUGGUAGCU
This 469-nucleotide ribosomal RNA is filed under the name uncultured bacterium. RNAcentral's name for it is "bacterial SSU rRNA". It matches the Rfam family "Bacterial small subunit ribosomal RNA", at positions 335 to 795 of the family's 1533-position model. The record is from RNAcentral.